Long non-coding RNA from Priapulus caudatus, 543 nucleotides. RefSeq lists it as uncharacterized. The record is from RefSeq and is a predicted model, not a curated record. The transcript has 3 exons. NCBI's taxonomy places the organism in Eukaryota, Metazoa, Priapulida, Priapulimorpha, Priapulimorphida, Priapulidae.
UUGAUCUCACUGGCCCACUGAAGACAACUGAGACUGGGAACAAGUGGAGACUUUUCACGUGUACAGUCUACUUCACAAAAUGGCUGGAAGCGUUUCCCAUAUCAGACAAAAAAGCUGAAACAAUAGCCAGUUGUCUUAUGAUGGUCAUCUAUAGGCAUGGAACCCCCAAAAAAUAUUAACAGACCUGGGAAAGGAAUUCAUCAAUGCAAUCAACAAAGACAUAUGCAAGACCUUAAACAUCCGUCAUUUGAUGACCGCAGCUUAUCAUCCCCAAACCAAUGGGUUGGACGAGAAAAAUUUACCGUGUGUGAAAAAUUGUUUGAACGGAGCUUUAGAAGUCUAGUAGUUGAUGGUGUGCACGUCACAUCAUCAGUACUAUACGGACUGUUAAAAGAGGAAGUGGAGCCAGAAUUGUGCGGGGAAAAACUCAAAAAAAACACCAAGAAUGUGUAUUACCGCAAGUGGCAGCAGGGAAAAGCAAUUGGGGGUGUUCGAGCUCGCUGCCAAAGUUGUGGGACACCAUGUGCAGCCUGCAAGGGUGAG